UACGAAGGGAGCUAGCGUUGUUCGGAAUCACUGGGCGUAAAGCGCACGUAGGCGGAUGUGUCAGUCAGGGGUGAAAUCCCGGAGCUCAACUUCGGAACUGCCUUUGAUACAGCACGUCUUGAGUCCGGAAGAGGUGGGUGGAAUUCCUAGUGUAGAGGUGAAAUUCGUAGAUAUUCGGAAGAACACCAGUGGCGAAGGCGGCUCACUGGCCCGGUACUGACGCUGAGGUGCGAAAGCGUGGGGAGCAAACAGG
RNAcentral lists this ribosomal RNA (253 nucleotides) under uncultured bacterium. RNAcentral describes it as "partial 16S ribosomal RNA". It matches the Rfam family "Bacterial small subunit ribosomal RNA", at positions 524 to 776 of the family's 1533-position model. The record is from RNAcentral.